GCCUGGUAGUGGGGGAUAACGUCCGGAAACGGACGCUAAUACCGCAUACGUCCUACGGGAGAAAGCAGGGGACCUUCGGGCCUUGCGCUAUCAGAUGAGCCUAGGUCGGAUUAGCUAGUUGGUGGGGUAAUGGCUCACCAAGGCGACGAUCCGUAACUGGUCUGAGAGGAUGAUCAGUCACACUGGAACUGAGACACGGUCCAGACUCCUACGGGAGGCAGCAGUGGGGAAUAUUGGACAAUGGGCGAAAGCCUGAUCCAGCCAUGCCGCGUGUGUGAAGAAGGUCUUCGGAUUGUAAAGCACUUUAAGUUGGGAGGAAGGGCAGUAAAUUAAUACUUUGCUGUUUUGACGUUACCGACAGAAUAAGCACCGGCUAACUCUGUGCCAGCAGCCGCGGUAAUACAGAGGGUGCAAGCGUUAAUCGGAAUUACUGGGCGUAAAGCGCGCGUAGGUGGUUCGUUAAGUUGGGAUGUGAAAUCCCCGGGCUCAACCUGGGGAACUGCAUUCAAAACUGACGAGCUAGAGUAUGGUAAGAGGGUGGUGGAAUUUCCUGUGUA
RNAcentral lists this ribosomal RNA (557 nucleotides) under uncultured bacterium. RNAcentral describes it as "bacterial SSU rRNA". It matches the Rfam family "Bacterial small subunit ribosomal RNA", at positions 128 to 677 of the family's 1533-position model. The record is from RNAcentral.